Diabrotica virgifera virgifera (western corn rootworm) is the source of this 1642-nucleotide long non-coding RNA. RefSeq lists it as uncharacterized. The record is from RefSeq and is a predicted model, not a curated record. NCBI's taxonomy places the organism in Eukaryota, Metazoa, Arthropoda, Insecta, Coleoptera, Chrysomelidae. The transcript has 2 exons.
UGCUUAAUUGCCUCUUGCUGGUAUUACCAAUCUAUAUUUAAUGAUAUCUAUAAAAUAUUUUGUCGCUAAUAUUUAUUAUUGCGAUACAUUUUUAAUGUGGUAAUGUAUUAUAAUAUAUACCGUUUGUCCCAAAAAUAGUAAAUUUUCAGGACUUACAUUUUCUUAUGCUGAAUUAAUUUUAUUUAACUAUCUUUAAAACUAUUCAUAAUAUCUUUAAAUUUUACUAUCUUUAAUUAAUUUUGAAUUGUAGUUACUAUCGUUGUAUUCUUUAUUCUUCGCCCGCUGUGAAUUUCUCUCUUUUUCCUUUUACAACUAUCCUCUCAGAUUUUACAACUAUCCUCUCGUUGGUAAUCAUGCCUCUCCCUUUCAAUCCCAACCACCUAAAAACAGAGGAAUUGGCCUAUGAACUCACCAUUAGAGGUUCUACAGUGCCCGAAAAUGUUGCGGAGCGUAGGAAAUCACUGAGAGGGAAAUCACCGUCAGCUUAUUUUUAGUUAUAAAUACAAUGCUUUAUUCUUUCUCUUCGAAUGAAGGUAUCUGCAGCAAAAAUUCAGAGAACAAGGCUUAACUAGCUAGUUAGCGUCAUUUCUUAUUAGACAGUUGAAUUUUAUAGUACAGCUAUUAGCAACAAUUUUUUAUUGCUGGUCCAAAUAUUUAUAUUUAACUUUAAUAACUUGAUUUGUGCUAAAUAUUCUCUCUCUCUCUCUCUCUCUCUCUCUCUCUCUCUCUCUCUCUCUCUCUCUCUCUCUCUUUCUCUCUCUUUCUCUAUCUCUCUUUCAAAUCAACUAUUUCUUCUUCUUGUUUUCUUUUUAAUAUUAUCUUAAAUAUAAAAACCCUACUUAUUCAUUCUUCUUCUGCUUCUUCUUCUUUUCACCUUUCGAGUUUUUUAUCAACAUUUUUUUUUCUGCCAUUCUUACUUGUCAUCCUUCUUCUGAUUCACAUUUUUUUACAACUAUUUAUUUUUUUUGAAAAAAAUUUUUUCAAGUCACUGAAAAAAUUUUCCGGUACCUUGGGGGGUGUGUAACGUUUCAAUCAGCCGAUUGAACGCUACACCAAGCUCCGCUUGGUAUUUGUCCCUCGGACUAUAUAUUUCUAUAAGCGACCCUACUAUCAUCAAAUCAAUUAGUACAUCUCUUCGAAGGUAUUUAAUCCGAUACAAAUUUGUACUUGCUUCUUUUGCCAUUGCCACGUAAAUCAGGCACAAUAUUGGCAUACAUUAUCGUGUUUGUGUGUAGGCCGUUAAACAAUGGCCCCUACCUCGGGAAGAAGACUUUAAUCAAGCACUACCUGGAAAAGAAAACACAUUACCUUGAAGAGCAGAACUGGCUUAAAACCGUAUCCUGAUGCAUCAGUAGAAUGAAUUAGACAAGGCAGCCCUACAGAGACAAGACAGCCCAAUAAGGUAGCCCUCGACUUCCCCUAACUGCUGGCGACGACAAAUUCUGCAGGGAUUGGGGACCUCCUUUAGGAACUGUGACGGAAAGACUUAAAGCUGAGUAAAUUUUUAUCUUUAUAACUUUUGUAUCGAUUACCAGCAGGGUCUCGGUCACGGGCUCAGAAAAUUAACUUGGUUGUCUGUAUACAAUAAAAUGAUUUUUGUUAAGUUUUUUUUAUAUCUAAAUAAAUAGUGCAUUUAAAAUGA